UCACGCUUAUCGCGCCAGCCCACACACACACACACACACAGUCGGCGACAGGACAGUGUCAUUAUUGACACAAAAUGUUUGCGCUGUAUCGCUGGUGGUACUCGUUCGGAAUCGAGGAAGGACCGGAGAAAACAUAGGAAACCGGCGGAUGUCCUUAAAUACGAUAGGUGUUUCCGGUGUCCUGGAACGCACCCUGUCUGGUUGCCGGGUGAAUUAGCUUGUUGGGAGAUCGAUGUUCACCCGCACCUGUAUCCCAUCAGUAAUCUGCACACCUGUCCUGAUCAUCACCUCUCCCCUUCAAAAGCUCUGACCUGACAUCCAUUCCCUGCCAGAUCGUUAGCCAUGAACAUUACUCACCCGGAUCAUUUACCCCAUUCCCGCCUGGUCGUCGGAGGAUUCCGCUACCCCAUUGGAUCCACCUAUUUACUCCCAUCAACUCACCACCGCUGCCCGCUACGCCACCUGGAUAUAUCUACCCAUUCACAUUCACUUGUAAAUAAAUACUCACCUUCUUCCUA
Oncorhynchus nerka (sockeye salmon) is the source of this 518-nucleotide long non-coding RNA. RefSeq lists it as uncharacterized. The transcript has 3 exons. The record is from RefSeq and is a predicted model, not a curated record. Lineage: Eukaryota; Metazoa; Chordata; Actinopteri; Salmoniformes; Salmonidae.